CAGCAAGAGGCACGGAUGCUCUUAAACCCUAACUUACGAGCAAGAGAUGGGAAACAAGGACGCCGUGCACAACGAGAUCCUCAGGCUCAAGAGGAUCCUCUUUGAAAAGCUCACGGAGAGCACUGCCAAUGCGGGAAUCGGGCUCACCAAUGUGUCCUUGACGCCGGCGCAAGAGCUGGGCCAGAAGAUGCUCGUCGAUGGAAUGCCAAAGGCUUUUGUUGAGUUUUUCGAGCUCACCACCACCUUGGAGCCCGAGCCGACCAACAAAGAGGACGAGGAAGCUGGCAUCAGGUUCCCCAUCGCCGAAGCUCAGAGAACGUUUAAGAAGAAGGAAGUCCAGAGCGUUUUGUGCGGCCAUCUUGUAGCAGCAGAGCGAGCUGCAAGAACAGGGAACAAUGAGAAGCUGUUCGUGGCACUGUCCGGCGUUGGAGCUCUGUUUGACAAGACGUGCUACUUCUCCACUGCGGUGGCCUACUUCGUGCGAGCUCUCGCCGCGGCCAGCAAUGUGACGAGCACACGGAACACCUUUCACGUAGCACAGCAAUGUUUAGGCAAAAUACAACCUUGGCAAGAUCUACUGGAAGGUGCGAAACAGUGGCGACGCCAUCAGCUGCUUUGAGGAUUGCUUGGGCCUCGCAAGCUUCAUAAACCACGGCCAGCUCGUCGUCAUGGCUGCAACUGAGCUCCUCGAGGAAGAAAACAGCAUGGAAAAGCUUGCAGGUCUACUGGCAUUGCGCCGAGGAGUGCCGACAAGAAGGCAACUACAGACAGAGCAUUUGCUACUUUGAAAAGGCAAGCCAGGAAAAACUAUAGAAAAACUUUGGAGAUGUGUGAAUUUUUCGUCGUGAUCACAGUGCGUGCGAGCUGCUGUGGCAUGUAGUAAUCCUGUUCAGGGAGGUGAAGCCAAGUACAACAUUGGACUCGAAUAUGGGAUGCUCAGGGAGACGCAAAACGCUGUGAAAUACCACAACGAGUACAUCGAUUUCUCAAGGAAGAUCAGGAACAAGGUACGCACGCGCGAGCCAUGCGUUAAGAUUGUCUUCGAGAUUUUUCUUCUCGCUCUCUCAGGCAGGAGAGUGCAAAGCUCACGCAGCUAUGUCGGAAACUUAUGAAGCCGCUGGCAAUAUAUCUGCAGCUGUGCACCAUCUCAAGGCUUACUUGCAAGCAGCGGCAUUUCUAGAUCCCGUCACUCUGGUAUUCCAUUCGUGCAAGCAAUCCAUGAGAGAUUUGGCUAGAAA
This is an RNA transcript of Selaginella moellendorffii, 1238 nucleotides long. RefSeq lists it as uncharacterized. NCBI's taxonomy places the organism in Eukaryota, Viridiplantae, Streptophyta, Lycopodiopsida, Selaginellales, Selaginellaceae. The record is from RefSeq and is a predicted model, not a curated record. The transcript is spliced from 7 exons.